GACGUAGGGUCCAAGCGUUGUCCGGAUUUACUGGGCGUAAAGAGCGCGUAGGCGGUCCGUUAAGUGUAGAGUGAAAGCUCCGGGCUCAACUCGGAAAUUGCUCUGCAUACUGGCGGACUCGAGGACGGAAGAGGUUUGUGGAAUUCCUGGUGUAGCGGUGAAAUGCGUAGAUAUCAGGAGGAACACCCAUGGCGAAGGCAACAAACUGGUCCGUAUCUGACGCUGAGGCGCGAAAGCGUGGGUAGCAAACAGG
This 253-nucleotide ribosomal RNA is filed under the name uncultured bacterium. RNAcentral's name for it is "partial 16S ribosomal RNA". It matches the Rfam family "Bacterial small subunit ribosomal RNA", at positions 524 to 776 of the family's 1533-position model. The record is from RNAcentral.